GCAAGUCGAACGAACAAAGCUGGAGCUUGCUUCAGCUGCGUUAGUGGCAAACGGGUGAGUAACACGUGGGAAUCUACCCAUCAGUACGGAAUAACAUUUGGAAACGAAUGCUAAUACCGUAUAUUCUCUAAGGAGGAAAGAUUUAUCGCUGAUGGAUGAGCCCGCGUAAGAUUAGGUAGUUGGUGGGGUAAUGGCCUACCAAGCCGACGAUCUUUAGCUGGUCUGAGAGGAUGAUC
Molecule: ribosomal RNA, 236 nt
Filed under: uncultured bacterium
Lineage: Bacteria
Description: partial 16S ribosomal RNA
Rfam family: Bacterial small subunit ribosomal RNA
Source: RNAcentral